GCCUGCGUGUUGUAGUGGUUAGCAUAUUGACCUCAUAAUUUAGUUGAACCUGAUUACAGGCAGUCGAAGAGCCGAGUUCAAUUCUCGGCGCGGGCA
This is a non-coding RNA of Tilletiopsis washingtonensis, 96 nucleotides long. The record is from the annotation of a RefSeq genome assembly. NCBI's taxonomy places the organism in Eukaryota, Fungi, Basidiomycota, Exobasidiomycetes, Entylomatales.